Molecule: microRNA precursor, 118 nt
Filed under: Lotus japonicus
Lineage: Eukaryota; Viridiplantae; Streptophyta; Magnoliopsida; Fabales; Fabaceae
Description: miR390b stem-loop (lja-MIR390b)
Gene: lja-MIR390b
Rfam family: MIR390 microRNA precursor family
Source: miRBase by way of RNAcentral
GUGUGGAAAAUCUGUAAAGCUCAGGAGGGAUAGCGCCAUGGAUGGUCUGGAUCUCUUGCAUUAUUUGUUGUGAUCUUCUCUAGCGCUAUCCAUCCUGAGUUUCAUGGCUUCUUCAUAC